UAAUAAGUGUUUUAUGGCACUUUUUAAAUCCAUAUCCACCUUGUGUGCGAAUGUCGGUCGAUCUUCUUUUUUUGAGGAUCGACCAAACAUCAACCUUUAUCUUUUAACUCUUUGUCUGAAAAAUAUUACUGAAUAAACAAUUCAAAAUA
This 149-nucleotide unclassified non-coding RNA is filed under the name soil metagenome. Its description in RNAcentral is "partial internal transcribed spacer 1". The record is from RNAcentral.